Molecule: ribosomal RNA, 618 nt
Filed under: uncultured bacterium
Lineage: Bacteria
Description: bacterial SSU rRNA
Rfam family: Bacterial small subunit ribosomal RNA
Source: RNAcentral
AGAGUUUGAUCCUGGCUCAGGAUGACGGUAAGCGACCGGCCUAACACAUGCAAGUCGAGGGGCAGCCCUUGGUAGCAAUACUUGGGUGGCGACCGGCGGACGGGUGAGUAACACGUAUGCAACCUGCCCGUAAUCGGGGGCUAACCCGGAGAAAUUCGGACUAAAACUCCAUGAAUCUGAGAUAUCGCAUGAUAAAACAGAAAAACGCAAGGAUUACGGAUGGGCAAACGGAUGAUUAGCUAGUUGGAGGGGUAACGGCCCGCCAAGGCGACGAUCAUUAGGGGUUCUGAGAGGAAGGUCCCCCACAUUGGAACUGAGAGACGGCCCAAAACCCUACGGGAGUCAGCAGUGAGGAAUAUUGGUCAAUGGGCGAGAGCCUGAACCAGCCAAGUCGCGUGAAGGAAGAAGGUCUUAUGGAUUGUAAACUUCUUUAGCAGAGGGAUAAAGGUUAUUACGAGAUAAUAAUUUGCAGGUACUCUGCGAAAAAGGAUCGGCUAACUCCGUGCCAGCAGCCGCGGUAAUACGGAGGAUUCGAGCGUUAUCCGGAUUUAUUGGGUUUAAAGGGUGCGUAGGCGGGUUUGUAAGUCAGUGGUGAAAGUUUCCGGCUUAACCGGCUCU